RNAcentral lists this ribosomal RNA (2923 nucleotides) under Klebsiella pneumoniae. Its description in RNAcentral is "23S ribosomal RNA". It matches the Rfam family "Bacterial large subunit ribosomal RNA". The record is from RNAcentral. Lineage: Bacteria; Pseudomonadati; Pseudomonadota; Gammaproteobacteria; Enterobacterales; Enterobacteriaceae.
GGGUUGUGAGGUUAAGCGACUAAGCGUACACGGUGGAUGCCCUGGCAGUCAGAGGCGAUGAAGGACGUGCUAAUCUGCGAAAAGCGUCGGUAAGGUGAUAUGAACCGUUAUAGCCGGCGAUGUCCGAAUGGGGAAACCCAGUGCAAUUCGUUGCACUAUCGUUAACUGAAUACAUAGGUUAACGAGGCGAACCGGGGGAACUGAAACAUCUAAGUACCCCGAGGAAAAGAAAUCAACCGAGAUUCCCCCAGUAGCGGCGAGCGAACGGGGAGCAGCCCAGAGUCUGAAUCAGCUUGUGUGUUAGUGGAACGGUCUGGAAAGUCCGACGGUACAGGGUGAUAGUCCCGUACACCAAAAUGCACAGGUUGUGAACUCGAAGAGUAGGGCGGGACACGUGGUAUCCUGUCUGAAUAUGGGGGGACCAUCCUCCAAGGCUAAAUACUCCUGACUGACCGAUAGUGAACCAGUACCGUGAGGGAAAGGCGAAAAGAACCCCGGCGAGGGGAGUGAAAAAGAACCUGAAACCGUGUACGUACAAGCAGUGGGAGCACCUUCGGGUGUGACUGCGUACCUUUUGUAUAAUGGGUCAGCGACUUAUAUUCUGUAGCAAGGUUAACCGUAUAGGGGAGCCGCAGGGAAACCGAGUCUUAACUGGGCGUUAAGUUGCAGGGUAUAGACCCGAAACCCGGUGAUCUAGCCAUGGGCAGGUUGAAGGUUGGGUAACACUAACUGGAGGACCGAACCGACUAAUGUUGAAAAAUUAGCGGAUGACUUGUGGCUGGGGGUGAAAGGCCAAUCAAACCGGGAGAUAGCUGGUUCUCCCCGAAAGCUAUUUAGGUAGCGCCUCGUGAACUCAUCUUCGGGGGUAGAGCACUGUUUCGGCUAGGGGGUCAUCCCGACUUACCAACCCGAUGCAAACUACGAAUACCGAAGAAUGUUAUCACGGGAGACACACGGCGGGUGCUAACGUCCGUCGUGAAGAGGGAAACAACCCAGACCGCCAGCUAAGGUCCCAAAGUCAUGGUUAAGUGGGAAACGAUGUGGGAAGGCACAGACAGCCAGGAUGUUGGCUUAGAAGCAGCCAUCAUUUAAAGAAAGCGUAAUAGCUCACUGGUCGAGUCGGCCUGCGCGGAAGAUGUAACGGGGCUAAACCAUGCACCGAAGCUGCGGCAGCGACACUAUGUGUUGUUGGGUAGGGGAGCGUUCUGUAAGCCUGCGAAGGUGUGCUGUGAGGCAUGCUGGAGGUAUCAGAAGUGCGAAUGCUGACAUAAGUAACGAUAAAGCGGGUGAAAAGCCCGCUCGCCGGAAGACCAAGGGUUCCUGUCCAACGUUAAUCGGGGCAGGGUGAGUCGACCCCUAAGGCGAGGCCGAAAGGCGUAGUCGAUGGGAAACAGGUUAAUAUUCCUGUACUUGGUGUUACUGCGAAGGGGGGACGGAGAAGGCUAUGUUAGCCGGGCGACGGUUGUCCCGGUUUAAGCAUGUAGGCUGAUUGUCCAGGCAAAUCCGGAUAAUCAAGGCUGAGGUGUGAUGACGAGGCACUACGGUGCUGAAGUAACAAAUGCCCUGCUUCCAGGAAAAGCCUCUAAGCAUCAGGUAACAUUAAAUCGUACCCCAAACCGACACAGGUGGUCAGGUAGAGAAUACCAAGGCGCUUGAGAGAACUCGGGUGAAGGAACUAGGCAAAAUGGUGCCGUAACUUCGGGAGAAGGCACGCUGGUGUGUAGGUGAAGCCCCUGCGGGUGGAGCUGAGACCAGUCGAAGAUACCAGCUGGCUGCAACUGUUUAUUAAAAACACAGCACUGUGCAAACACGAAAGUGGACGUAUACGGUGUGACGCCUGCCCGGUGCCGGAAGGUUAAUUGAUGGGGUUAUCCGUAAGGAGAAGCUCUUGAUCGAAGCCCCGGUAAACGGCGGCCGUAACUAUAACGGUCCUAAGGUAGCGAAAUUCCUUGUCGGGUAAGUUCCGACCUGCACGAAUGGCGUAAUGAUGGCCAGGCUGUCUCCACCCGAGACUCAGUGAAAUUGAACUCGCUGUGAAGAUGCAGUGUACCCGCGGCAAGACGGAAAGACCCCGUGAACCUUUACUAUAGCUUGACACUGAACAUUGAGCCUUGAUGUGUAGGAUAGGUGGGAGGCUUUGAAGCGUGGACGCCAGUCUGCGUGGAGCCAACCUUGAAAUACCACCCUUUAAUGUUUGAUGUUCUAACGUUGGCCCCUUACCGGGGUUGCGGACAGUGUCUGGUGGGUAGUUUGACUGGGGCGGUCUCCUCCCAAAGCGUAACGGAGGAGCACGAAGGUUAGCUAAUCCUGGUCGGACAUCAGGAGGUUAGUGCAAUGGCAUAAGCUAGCUUGACUGCGAGCGUGACGGCGCGAGCAGGUGCGAAAGCAGGUCAUAGUGAUCCGGUGGUUCUGAAUGGAAGGGCCAUCGCUCAACGGAUAAAAGGUACUCCGGGGAUAACAGGCUGAUACCGCCCAAGAGUUCAUAUCGACGGCGGUGUUUGGCACCUCGAUGUCGGCUCAUCACAUCCUGGGGCUGAAGUAGGUCCCAAGGGUAUGGCUGUUCGCCAUUUAAAGUGGUACGCGAGCUGGGUUUAGAACGUCGUGAGACAGUUCGGUCCCUAUCUGCCGUGGGCGCUGGAGAAUUGAGGGGGGCUGCUCCUAGUACGAGAGGACCGGAGUGGACGCAUCACUGGUGUUCGGGUUGUCAUGCCAAUGGCACUGCCCGGUAGCUAAAUGCGGAAGAGAUAAGUGCUGAAAGCAUCUAAGCACGAAACUUGCCCCGAGAUGAGUUCUCCCUGAGACUUUAAGUCUCCUGAAGGAACGUUAAAGACGAUGACGUUGAUAGGCCGGGUGUGUAAGCGCAGCGAUGCGUUGAGCUAACCGGUACUAAUGAACCGUGAGGCUUAACCUUACAACGCCGAAG